RNAcentral lists this ribosomal RNA (509 nucleotides) under uncultured bacterium. RNAcentral's name for it is "bacterial SSU rRNA". It matches the Rfam family "Bacterial small subunit ribosomal RNA", at positions 28 to 584 of the family's 1533-position model. The record is from RNAcentral.
AGCGAACGCUGGCGGCAGGCCUAACACAUGCAAGUCGAACGGACCCUUCGGGGUUAGUGGCGGACGGGUGAGUAACACGUGGGAACGUGCCUUUAGGUUCGGAAUAGCUCCUGGAAACGGGUGGUAAUGCCGAAUGUGCCCUUCGGGGAAAGAUUUAUCGCCUUUAGAGCGGCCCGCGUCUGAUUAGCUUGUUGGUGGGGUAAUGGCCCACCAAGGCUACGAUCAGUAGCUGGUCUGAGAGGAUGACCAGCCACAUUGGGACUGAGACACGGCCCAAACUCCUACGGGAGGCAGCAGUGGGGAAUCUUGCGCAAUGGGCGAAAGCCUGACGCAGCCAUGCCGCGUGUAUGAUGAAGGUCUUAGGAUUGUAAAGUACUUUCACCGGUGAAGAUAAUGACUGUAGCCGGAGAAGAAGCCCCGGCUAACUUCGUGCCAGCAGCCGCGGUAAUACGAAGGGGGCUAGCGUUGCUCGGAAUUACUGGGCGUAAAGGGAGCGUAGGCGGACAUUU